UGACUGACUGAAGAGUUUGAUCCUGGCUCAGGACGAACGCUGGCGGCGUGCUUAACACAUGCAAGUCGAACGGGAGGACAUGGGAAGCUUGCUUCCUAUGGACUCUAGUGGCAAACGGGUGAGUAACGCGUAAGCAACCUGCCCUCCGGAUGGGGACAACAGCUGGAAACGGCUGCUAAUACCGAAUACGUUUUCAUUGCCGCAUGGCAGUGGGAAGAAAGGUGGCCUCUGAAUAUGCUACCGCCGGGGGAGGGGCUUGCGUCUGAUUAGCUAGUUGGAGGGGUAACGGCCCACCAAGGCGACGAUCAGUAGCCGGUCUGAGAGGAUGAACGGCCACAUUGGAACUGAGACACGGUCCAGACUCCUACGGGAGGCAGCAGUGGGGAAUCUUCCGCAAUGG
Molecule: ribosomal RNA, 400 nt
Filed under: uncultured bacterium
Lineage: Bacteria
Description: bacterial SSU rRNA
Rfam family: Bacterial small subunit ribosomal RNA
Source: RNAcentral